Molecule: long non-coding RNA, 6183 nt
Organism: Bactrocera neohumeralis
Lineage: Eukaryota; Metazoa; Arthropoda; Insecta; Diptera; Tephritidae
Exons: 4
Source: RefSeq, a predicted model, not a curated record
CUAGGCAACACUAAGUGUUGCCAGGUGCAAUCUGACAUUUCCAUUGGAAAGUUUGACAUUUUUUAGCAUAACAUCACUCAGAACGUUUUGUCAUUUAAUCGUGAAUUGUUUUAUUUACAGGGAAUUAAAAAAUUCAUCGCGGCAAAAAAAUGGAAUUAACUCGUGAACAUUUUCGUGCGAUCAUUUUUCACAACUUUCGACGUGAAUUAUCACGACAAGAGUGCAUCGAUGAACUAAAAUCUUUGUAUGGCUAUGAAGCACCAUCCUAUAGCACUGUGAAAAACUGGUACAACGAAUUCAAUCGUGGCCGACGGUCGCUCAAAGACGAAUUCCGUGUAGGUCGUCCAAAAACAGCCGUUGUGCCAGAAAACAUCGAUGCCGUACGUGAACUGAUAAGGCAAGACCGUCAUGUAACAUACCUUCAGAUAGAGGCAUGCCUAUGCAUUUCUCCCACCAGCAUACAUUCGAUAUUGCAUGAACACCUGGCCGUAAAAAAGGUUUGUUCUCGUUGGAUCCCGCACAAUUUGAAAAUCGCUCAAAAAAAGGCUCGUGUGUAAAGAAAUGCUGAAAAAAUACGAUCGCGGUGCUUCAAGAGACGUUUAUAAGAUCGUGACAGAUGACGAAUCAUGGAUCUUUGCGUAUGAGCCCGAAACAAAACAGCAAUCGACCGUGUGGGUCUUCCAAGACGAGCCAAAUCCAACGAAAGUUGUUCGUGGAAGAAGCACUUCGAAGCAAAUGGUCGCCUGUUUCUUCGGCAAAACUGGUCAUGUGGCGGCUGUUCCGCUUGAGCAACAUAGGACGGUCAAUUCUGAGUGGUACACCACCAUUUGUUUGCCUGAAGUCUUCGGAGAAAUUCGAAAAACGAACAAGAGAAGACGAAUCAUUGUGCACCAUGACAAUGUGAGCUCUCACACAUCGGCUCAAACCAGCGCCUUCUUGACCGGCCAAAACGUCGAAUUGAUGGGUCAUCCGCCGUACAGCCCUGACUUGGCACUCAUACAUCAAGAAAAUAAUGCGUGGCCAACAAUUUUCGUCGCCAGAAGAUGCUGUUGAAGCAUUCAAAAACCAUGUUUUGGAGGUGUCUCAAUCGGAGUGGAAAAAGUGCUUCGAAAAUUGGUUUGAGCGCAUGCAAAAGUGUAUAAAUCUUGAUGGAGAAUAUUUUGAAAAACAAUAAAACCAUUUUCUUUGAUAAAAUAUAUAUAGCAGCCCUCGUACAUACAUACUUGUACAUAUCUAUAUAUAUAUAUAAAAGAAAGUGACGUUAGUUACUACGCUUAUAACUGGAGAACGCCUGGACCGAUUUCGGUGAUUACCACCAAUUCGGACAGGUCUCCGCCCAAACAAGGAGAAUACUUAAGAAAAUUCUGGAAAAUUUUCCGAAAAAAAAAUUAAUUAUGAUUUUAAAUGCUGGCACAUAACUCAAAAACACCUGGACCAAUUUUGCCAAUUCUUUUUUUUUAAAUGUUCGUUGAGGCUCAAGGAUGGUUUUUAUGGCAAAAAAAAUUCGAAUAAUUGCCGGAAAACCCCUAAAAAGAGCCCUUUUCUUUUUCUCAUACAAACGAAUGAAUGCUGUUAGUAACGCUAAUGCUCGAGAACAGCUGAACCAAUCUUGAUGAAAUUUUCAGCGGUUGAUCGCUGUGGACCGAGGAAAGUUUAGAAAUAAAAAAAGCGUAUGCUUUUCGUGAGGAAAAGUCGGAAAGUUGGACAAUUCCAAAAAAAUAACUUUUUUUUCAUACAAACAUUUUUUUUCAACUUUUUUCCUUUUGUUUUUCAAUUGUCAAAUUUGUCGUUUGCUUUCUUUAUUCCAGGUAAUUAAAAAAAAAAAUUAUUGAAAUUUAUACCGUGAAAACGUUAUGUGUGUUUCACACAAAGUGCUCAAUUACAGAUUGAAAUUUGUUACGAUGCCACGAAGAGGUCGCGUUCGUUUUGGCAUCAACAUAAGUAUGUAUAUUGACAGCCCAUGGUACAUAACCGAGUAUUCCCAGGAUGCGAUGACAUACGAAUGAAAUUAUGGAUCGCGGGCAAUCAGCAAGCGAUCGUCACGAUGUCAGAGGACAACUUUUCAAACAACAGUUGCGAUGUUUUGUAAACUUUAUCUUAAAGCAACGUAUAUGUGGUGCUGUUAGAUGCUGGAUGUACUCUGUUGAGUGGCAAAAGAGAAGUUUGCCGCACGCACAUAUUCUUCUUUGGAUGGUGGACGGUGGUUACACCAAAUCAAAUUGAUGAAAUCAUUUCUGCGGAAAUUCCUGAUCCAGAGAUAGAAGCAGAAUUAUACGAAACCAAUAUGGUUCAUGUACCUUACGGACAUAACAAUACCACUUCGGUUUGUAUGUCUGACAAUAAAUGUACGAAACACUAUCCAGGUGCUUUUCUUUCGGAAACACAAACUAGAAAUGAUGGAUAUCCAAUGUAUCAGCGUCGCUCACCAGAUGACAAUGGCAGAACAGUUAGCGUUGAACUUAGAGGCGUGAAUAUCGAAGUUAACAACAUAUCGAAGUCGACAACAUAUGGAUCGUACCAUAUUCGCCACUGUUGUCUAAUUCACAUUCAAAAGUCAUGUCAAUGUUGCGUAUUGCAGUUUGGUGUAAUCGAUAAAAUACGUGUGUAAAUACGUCACAAAGGAAGCAACAUGGCGGUUACUGAUCUUGAACGAUACGGUCGAUACGUGAACUGCAAUAAAGCGCUUUGUAUGAUAUUUACUUUUGCGAUUCAUGAACGUUUUCCGACUGUUGUGCGUCUCGCAGUUAAUUUGGAGAAUGACCAAAUAGUCUAUUUCAACACAGAGAAUACAGUACAGACAGAGAAAACACCCCCAGCAACAAAAUUAACAUUUACGAGUUUUUUCUCAACUUUCGUCAGUGAACCGUUUGCGAGAACUUGCUCUAUUCGGAAAUAUCUAUAUUAUACAUACAAUUACAAUUACAAUUGCUGGAACACGAUAAUCACUGGAAUGAAGUUCGCACACUUUUCGCGAAGAUCAGCCAUCAAAUUAGCGUCAAUUAUGGAAUACGAACAAAAAUGACAUUGCCGAAGACAUUUUACAUCGUAUUCGCUAAGAAUUGGAAAUGGGUAAAUUCCGGUUGAUACUUCCGGUGGUUUGAUAUCAAUUCCAUCUUCCCUUUAACAAUUCACCAAAGAUGAACUCAUCACGAAUAUUCAGACAUUAGACAAAUUAUCGUAACCACAAUUCCUUAAGUGCACGCGCAAUCUUAGCUGCCAAAAAUACCGAUGUUGUUGAUUUAAACUGGAAGAUUCAAAGUCAAAUUCCGGGAGACUUGCGCUCAUACAAAUUGAUCGAUCGUGGAAUUUCUAAAUUCUUUGAAUAGGCUUGGUAUGCCACCGCAUCAUUUGCGUCUCAAAGUUGGAUCUGUCGUUAUUAUGUUCCACAAUCUUCAGGCGCCGAAACUGUGUAAUGGAACCUGACUGAUUGUGACGCAGCUAUCGAAUACAAAGGGGCAGAAUGCUUGAUUCUACGAAUUCCUCUGAGUUCUAACGAUUUGCCAUUUCAGUUCAAACGUAUUCAGUUUCCAGUGAAAAUUCCAUUUGAGACACAAGGAUAGUCGCAUAGUGUAUGGUAUACAUUUGGAAAUGCUAUGUUUUUCACUCGGCCAGAUAUACGUGGCCUGCUCACGAGUUGGAAAACCAUAUUUUCUAUACACCGGAACAGAAACCAAAAAAUGUUUAUCAAGCUGCGAUACAUUGAAAAAAAGUGAAAUGAUAAAUUCAACUUUUUCAUUUCUAAACACAUAAUUUCACGCAGGAAAACGACUGCGGGGUCAGCUAGUUUACAAAUAAAAUCUUGUCCAAAUUAUUUAAACAUAAAUAUAUGUACAUAUAUAUUUCUUUUUAUUCAUACUCAGAAGGAAUUAAAAUGUACAAAGACCGUAAGUUACAUAUUUAUUGUAACAUGCAAAUACUUAUAUUUAUAAUAGAUAACGCCUUUGGAAGAAUUCUAUUUUAGAGGUGAUCUAGUAAGAGCAUACAAAAAUAUGAAGGGAACAGUUCUCUAGCCUGCUGAAUGGCAGUGAAAACAUAACACCAGGAGAUGGUGAAUCCGAUUCCCCAAUUGAUGACGAUGGAGCAGACGUUCCAUUGCCCGAUCAUGAACAACAUAACAGCUACCCGUCUGAAGAAAAAUAAAGCGGCAAGGGCCGAUGGAUUGUCGGCUGAGCUAUUCAAAUACGGCGGUGAAGAACUAAUCAAAUGCAUGCAAUAGUUUCUUUGUAGAAUAUGGUCGGCCGAAAGCAUGCCUGAUGAUUGGAAUUUAAUCUACAAAAAGCGAGAUCCCACAAUCUGCGCCAACUACCGUGGGAUAAGCCUUCUAAACAUCGGAUACAGUGUGGCUUCAGGCCUGGAAAAUCAACAACUGAGCACAUAGUCACCACGCGCCAAAUCCUGAAAAACACCCGUAAAAAAGGAUCAGCACACCUCCGUAGAUUUCAAAGCUGCUUUUGCAGUUCGAACUAUUUUCUACAGGAUUAGAUUGAAAAAGUCGCACUAUAGAUAGUCGCUUUGUCUGAUACCUCGUUUGGUAUAGAGCCGUUCGAGAGAUCCUUCCCAAUCCUUACGGAUAUUUUGGUAUUGCUCAACGUAAGUUUACAUAGCCGUAUUAGUUUUGCGGUGAUAUCAAAUUCAGACAUAGACGCAUAAAGCAACUUCUUUUCGAGCUGUCAAAAACAGCUUUGGAAUGGACGGAAAGGUGCGGGAUCUCUUUUAACGGGUUUUCCCGUAUUUGGCGCACGGUGAUUGUCUGCUCUUCUUCUUCUUUAGUUGCGAAGACACCGCUUUCGCGAUUAUAGCCGAGUUAACAGCGCGCCACUCGUUUUUUUUUGUCGAUACGUGGUGCCAAUUCCAUCCGGGGCCCUAUUCUGUAUCUCGAUUCGAAAGUAAAUUCUUUUCGAAUUUAAUAUUCGACUCGAAUGUGUUUUAGCAUUCUGUAAAAAAAUCGAAAUAAGUUUAUAAAUAUGCGAAAGUUGUACCACCCUGUGUCAGUAUUUUCGAAUGCUAAAUGUCCAAAUAAAAUGAAAUAAGUUUAAAUUUAUCUGAAAAAUAUGGAUUCCGUUGCAUUGUGGAUGGAGGACGAGGAAAUUAUUGAGGAAAGGAUUACGAGAAGAUACAUAAAUGAAUUUAAUAUUAUGGAAUUAUCGCAAAAUAGCUUCAUACAAAACUUUAGACUUUCUAAGGAAGCCUUUGAUUAUGUUUUAAGAGGCAUAACUGAAGAACUAACGGUACCUAUAAGAUCCACGGCAGUAAAUCCAGCUAUAAAACUUGCUGCUACUUUAAAAUUCCUUGGUCAAGGGGGCUAUCAACAUCAAAUAGGGCAAGACCGGUUUGCAGCGUUAGCACAGUCCACCACAUCUCAAUGUAUUGCAGAAGUUUUGAAUGCUAUUGAAAAAACAAUGUGUCCGAAACACAUAAAAUUUGAAAUGAGCUUACAAGAAAAGCGUGAAGCUAAGAAUUAAUCUUAUUCAAAAUUUGGAUUACCAGGAAUAAUAGGUGCUGUUGAUGGAACUCACAUUCAGAUGGUUAGACCAGUAAAAGAUGAACAUCUCUUUUUUAAUCAAAAGCUAAAGCAUAGCGUCAAUGCUAUGGUGAUUUGUGACCAUAACAUGAAUAUAAGAGCUGUAAAUGGAGUUUAUGGUGGAGCAGCGCAUGAUGCACACGUAUGGAGCCUUUCAAACAAAUGACAAAACAUGCUAUCCAACUAUCAAAAUGGAGAUAAAUCUUCAUGGUUAAUUGGCCGGUGAUUUUAUUCAAACCGCUUGUACUUGUGAUUCUGGAUAUCCAUUAGUGCCAUGGCUCCUUACGCCUUACCGCAAUGCAGAAGAAAAUUCACUUGAAAGUUUGUACAAUGAAAAAUUUACAAAAGCAAGAUCAAUAAUCGAGCGUGUAUUUGGAAUUUUAAAAAGUCGUUUUCGAUGCCUGCUUGCUGGAAGAGAGCUUCACUAUGCACCAAAAAAAGUUGUUAAAAUUUUGAACGUUUGUUGUGCCCUGCAUAACAUUUGCCUCAUAUACAACGUUGAAGCACCAACAGUAAUUGAAAUUAAUGAAGAACGAUCUAAUUUGGCUUUACCCAGCGUAGAUCAAAACGAGUUUUCACGAAUUGCGCAAACAAUACGAGACCGAAUUAAAAUAAGCUUGCGUUCGUAAUUUAAAUAAAGUAACUAAAAAGCAAUCCAUUUA